Molecule: ribosomal RNA, 492 nt
Filed under: uncultured bacterium
Lineage: Bacteria
Description: partial 16S ribosomal RNA
Rfam family: Bacterial small subunit ribosomal RNA
Source: RNAcentral
AGUGAACGCUGGCGGUAGGCCUAACACAUGCAAGUCGAACGGCAGCACAGUAAGAGCUUGCUCUUACGGGUGGCGAGUGGCGGACGGGUGAGGAAUACAUCGGAAUCUACUUUUUCGUGGGGGAUAACGUAGGGAAACUUACGCUAAUACCGCAUACGACCUACGGGUGAAAGCAGGGGAUCUUCGGACCUUGCGCGAUUGAAUGAGCCGAUGUCGGAUUAGCUAGUUGGCGGGGUAAAGGCCCACCAAGGCGACGAUCCGUAGCUGGUCUGAGAGGAUGAGCAGCCACACUGGAGCUGGGACACGGUCCAGACUCCUACGGGAGGCAGCAGUGGGGAAUAUUGGACAAUGGGCGCAAGCCUGAUCCAGCCAUACCGCGUUGGUGAAGGAGGCCUUCGGGUUUUAGAGCCCUUUUGUUGGGAAAGAAAAGCAGCAGGUUAAUACCCCGCUGUUCUGACGGUACCCAAAGAAUAAGCACCGGCUAACUUCGUG